CGCGUAGGCGGUCGGUCAAGUCGGUUGUGAAAGCCCUCGGCUCAACCGAGGAACUGCAUCCGAUACUGAUCGGCUAGAGUAUGGAAGGGGAGAGUGGAACUCCUGGUGGAGCGGUGAAAUGCGUAGAUAUCAGGAGGAACGCCGAUGGCGAAAGCGACUCUCUGGUCCACAACUGACGCUGAGGCGCGAAAGCCAGGGGAGCAAACG
Molecule: ribosomal RNA, 207 nt
Filed under: uncultured bacterium
Lineage: Bacteria
Description: partial 16S ribosomal RNA
Rfam family: Bacterial small subunit ribosomal RNA
Source: RNAcentral